This 253-nucleotide ribosomal RNA is filed under the name uncultured bacterium. RNAcentral's name for it is "partial 16S ribosomal RNA". It matches the Rfam family "Bacterial small subunit ribosomal RNA", at positions 524 to 776 of the family's 1533-position model. The record is from RNAcentral.
UACAGGGGGGGCAAGCGUUGUUCGGAAUUACUGGGCGUAAAGGGUUCGUAGGUGGCCACUUAAGUCAGACGUGAAAUCCCUCAGCUUAACUGGGGAACUGCGUCUGAUACUGAGUGGCUUGAGUGCAGGAGAGGAAUGCGGAAUUCCUGGUGUAGCGGUGAAAUGCGCAGAUAUCAGGAGGAACACCGAUGGCGAAGGCAGGUCUCUGGGCCACUACUGACGCUGAGAAGCGAAAGCAUGGGGAGCGAACAGG